This 1625-nucleotide long non-coding RNA is filed under the name Medicago truncatula (barrel medic). RNAcentral describes it as "lncRNA gene3907". Lineage: Eukaryota; Viridiplantae; Streptophyta; Magnoliopsida; Fabales; Fabaceae. The record is from RNAcentral.
AAAAUAUAGGUGGAUUAAUAAUCGAACAAAACAAAAUUUGAGUCUGGUAUUUCAUAAAUUUGAAGGGUGUUCAGAUGAAGAAAGAUAGAUGACAAAAAACAAAACAAAACCAAGCACAACAAUAUGCAGUCUAACAGAGAAGUAGAAAGUGCAAAUAAAAUCCUAGUAUCCUCCUUUGAGAUCAUUAACGACAUCAUACGGAAUUGGAGUAACAGUCUCCAAUGUAGCACCUUCGACCAUGAAACCAGGUUUGGGGCCCUCUGGCUUGCGCUUGGUGCUUAUCACCUCUCCCUUGGCCUUAGCCUCAGCCUUCAAUUGAUCAUUCUUGAUCUUCCUCAAUCUGAACUCCUCAGUGCACCUUGAUGGCAUAACAUGCUCCACUCGGACAUGGAUCCUCUUCCUCAAUAUCUUGUUCCUAACCUGAAACACAAAUAGCAACAUUUUAAAAUUGAGUAAACAAUAUCUUUACAAGCAACGGAGCACUUGCAGAGAACAUAAAAAAUUGAGGUAAUUAUGAAACAAUCAUACAUUCUAUCCAAGAGAUUCUCUGGAAAUUAAAAAUGUUCGUCUCAAUCUCAUUUAACUUACAACCUAAAAACUUACAAGAAUCUUGUGUUAAAUAUGGUUUGAGUCCAUAUAAAACAUCAUGUCCAAUUUAGUCUCUUCAAAAACCUCAUCUAAGGUUUGUCAAUGAAUUGGUGAUUAUGAUGAAAACUUUAAAUAAUAUUUGUUCCAAGUGAGAAAUUGGAGCCUUGACAUAAACGAAAUUAUUUGUAGGGACUAAACUUAAAGUCUCUUAAAUAAGUUGGGGAAAACAAAAACUUAGGGCAUGUUUGGAUAGACAGCCUAUAGCACUGGUGCUUAUUAUGAUAAGAGCUUUUUUUUUUUUUGCUCCAAAUGAUAAAAUAAAAUUGAAUUGUUUCUGUAUAUGCUAUAAGCAGUAAGCUAUCUUAGAGAACUUGUAAAAAUAAGAUCAAAAGGCUUCUGAAGAAUGUUAUAAAAAGGUUUCAAAAACAAACAUAACUCGAUCAGCAAUUCAUUUGUAACAACAAAAACAAAACUCAGAAGCUAAUCCAUCCAAACAAAACUCAAACAACAAAAUGAAUCAAGGAACAAAGCAAUGACCUAAUAUAAAACAAAACACAAUCAACAAUUCAUUUGUAACAUGAACUUAAACUGGAUCCUGAAUAGAAAGCUCGAAAUGAAACAAAAAAAUAUCAAUUGAACAAAUCAUCACAACUACCACAUGACAUAUAUUUGCAGAUAUAACAGUAAAAUCAAUCAUUAACCAGUACGAAUCAGUGAAAAAACAAAAAUGAUAACGAAGUGAUGACUAUAAGAAGCUUUGACAUACUUGCUUAUUGACUUCAACACCAAUGGCACGCUUAGUCACAUUCCAGACACGACCGGUACGACCGUGGUAGAAUUUGUGCGGCAUACCUUUGUGCACAGCUCCGUUAACUCUAAUAUCGACAUAGUCGCCGAUAUGAUAGGUCCUGAGGUAGGUGGCUAAGGCUAUUGUUCCCUUCUUGCGGAAGGGACGAGAGAAUGAAUCUCUGGUGCGGGAUCGUAAACCAUGACCUGCAGGCAUGUUUCCUUCUUCUAGGGUUUCUGGUGUUGCUGCU